This 628-nucleotide small RNA is filed under the name Histoplasma capsulatum. Its description in RNAcentral is "hypothetical RNA". The record is from RNAcentral. RNAcentral also lists the same sequence under 1 other name. Lineage: Eukaryota; Fungi; Ascomycota; Eurotiomycetes; Onygenales; Ajellomycetaceae.
CUGCUGCAAAAAGAAGACGCUUUGGUCCUGUCGGAUAGAAGAGAGAAGGGUCCGGAACCAGCCAAGCCAAUCCUGCAAUAAUAACUUGCGUCAGCAAAAUAUUUUGAAAUGCCUAGUUACAGCGUACGUCGAAGCUAUUAUGGCCAUGGUGAGAGUGGUAUACGUAUAUUAUAGAUAAAAUAUCCGGAUCCGUCCGUCUUUUUUCUCUGUCUGGAACUGGGUUAUCUUCGGGCUGUUCGGGGAACGAGCCUAGUUCACCUGGUGGUUGGCCCCCUUUUCACAUCCAUCCUGAGCGGGUAAAUGGUAAUAAAGAAUGAUAGGAAGAAAUAAAUGGGGUUAUUAUUGUUUUUCUGCAUGCAUGGAAGGAAGUGACGAGGUGACGAUGGAAAUAUCCGUGGAUAGUUAAUUAGUUACUAAGAGUAAGAGAUUCUUAUUUUUUUAGCUCUUUGGCGCUGGAGAGAUAGGCUUGUGCCCAAUAUACAUUCCUUUUGUCUAUGCUGUAACUAGUUAGUUAUUAUUAUGCAAUAUGAUGGUGGUGAUGGUGAUUUUGUUGGAUAUUGUCAAAUGUUAUUCUAUUUUUACUUCUUGCAUAUUUAGUUCGCUACGGUUAACUAACGAUCAUCUGGAG